GCCGCGUGUGUGAAGAAGGCCUUAUGGUUGUAAAGCACUUUAAGCGAGGAGGAGGCUCUUUUGGUUAAUACCCAAGAUGAGUGGACGUUACUCGCAGAAUAAGCACCGGCUAACUCUGUGCCAGCAGCCGCGGUAAUACAGAGGGUGCAAGCGUUAAUCGGAUUUACUGGGCGUAAAGCGCGCGUAGGCGGCCAAUUAAGUCAAAUGUGAAAUCCCCGAGCUUAACUUGGGAAUUGCAUUCGAUACUGGUUGGCUAGAGUGUGGGAGAGGAUGGUAGAAUUCCAGGUGUAGCGGUGAAAUGCGUAGAGAUCUGGAGGAAUACCGAUGGCGAAGGCAGCCAUCUGGCCUAACACUGACGCUGAGGUGCGAAAGCAUGGGGAGCAAACAGGAUUAGAUACCCUGGUAGUCCAUGCCGUAAACGAUGUCUACUAGCCGUUGGGGCCUUUGAGGCUUUAGUGGCGCAGCUAACGCGAUAAGUAGACCGCCUGGGGAGUACGGUCGCAAGACUAAAACUCAAAUGAAUUGACGGGGGCCCGCACAAGCGGUGGAGCAUGUGGUUUAAUUCGAUGCAACGCGAAGAACCUUACCUGGCCUUGACAUAGUAGAAA
RNAcentral lists this ribosomal RNA (608 nucleotides) under Acinetobacter baumannii. Its description in RNAcentral is "bacterial SSU rRNA". It matches the Rfam family "Bacterial small subunit ribosomal RNA", at positions 396 to 995 of the family's 1533-position model. Lineage: Bacteria; Pseudomonadati; Pseudomonadota; Gammaproteobacteria; Moraxellales; Moraxellaceae. The record is from RNAcentral.